This 3519-nucleotide long non-coding RNA is filed under the name Panax ginseng (ginseng). RNAcentral describes it as "long non-coding RNA (PGIN_LNC003448)". Lineage: Eukaryota; Viridiplantae; Streptophyta; Magnoliopsida; Apiales; Araliaceae. The record is from RNAcentral.
CAAAUGAUCAUGAGAUCAAUCAUCCUCAUCCAAUGAGCAAGCAACGUAUGUACCAAUCUAUCCGAAUUUACUAAUCCCCAAUUUAGUAAUCCAACGAUUGGGAACUAUUUUAGUUUUAAGCUUUCUAAGAAUUUAGAUCUCAUUAGAAUGAUCAUCAUCAUUAUUCUAAAAGCAUUGCUUAAAACUAUGGGUUUAUCACAUAUUAUAAAACAGUAUCAUGUAGAUAAUUUAAAAGCAUUUAAUACUUAUUAUUAAUAAAUGAAUAAGAUUGUUACAAAGUAUAUGCUUUAUCAUCAAACAUGAUUGACUUGUUUGCAUACUACUUUCACCUCAGGUCCUCAAACUUAAGUAAGAUUUGAUUAUGGUUUACAUAUGCAGUGAAGUAGAAGUAGAUACAUUACAUGCAAACAACCGAAUAAAAUAGAAAAGAAAACAAUGAGGGCUGUAAAUCCUAAAACUUUUCAAGAGAACUUCCAAAGCUGUAUAACAUAGUUCUAGAACAGUAGAACUCUACAAAUAUGUAGACAAGGACUAUCAGUAAAGAGAUGUUCUGAUCCGAAAAAACAAAUCUAAACAAAAGUAUAGCAUAUAUGUUAAUAGAGUUUUUGCACUUGAAAAAGAUGAUCAAACUAUUGCUACAAUCUCAAAAAUUUCAAACCAGACAACUAAAUUCGUUUGUUGUUUAAAAAAAAUCGUGCAAACAUGCUCAAAUUAAUAGAAACAUCAUAAACGAACUAUUGUGUUUAUUUAGAAAUUACGCGCAUCAUCUUGAGAUUAUUGUUAGUUUUUGAGUAUAUGAUGUUUUGAUUGAUGACCAAUUUAAGUGUGAAUGGUUCAUGAUGUAUUAUUAUAUUAAAUGUGCAUGAAUUAUGGGUUAUAAUAUUAUAGUUGAUAUGCAUGAGACAUGGGUAUUGCAUGAACUAUUAUUGCUGAUUUCUUCCCGUUGGUAGUUGGAAUAUGUUCAAAAUCAGUUCAGAUUUGAAUUAAUAUUAUGGAAGAUUUGAAUUGGAGGAUAUCAAGAAAGAUUUGGAUUGGAGCUUAUUAAGGUAUGUUGGUAUAACAGAUAUUAUGGUCCUUAAGGUAUGCUAGGCCAAAUUGGAUCCUCUGUUUCAUCAGUAUAGCUCGUGGGUAAUAAGUUAAUUAAGGAGUGUGUCUUGCUUAGUGGAACCCACAUUAGUUAGCAUUCUAUUUUGAAAAGGAGCCUGACUUUAGCUAUUGGAAAAUAUCCUUAUUUGUCUCCUUUAUUCAUGCUUAACACGGUUGUUUUGUAGGCAGUCUUCUCUCUUUUAUUUUCAGUGUUUCAUAUUCAAAUAGCUGGUGAAUAUCCGCGUAAUAUCUUUUUUGAGAUUUAAAGCUGCAGAAAUUAUGGGAAGUGUCUAACGGGUCUGAGAAAUAUUAGUCAUCACAUGUCAUAGUCGUUGCUCCUUAUUCGCUAUAUAUAUCUUCUCUUCGGCUGGUAAAAAGAGGCAUGAACAACCAGCAAUCAAAUUGAGAGAAUACAUCAGAGCUUACAAAUUGUUUUAGUCCAGCCUUAUAUUAUUAUAUAGCAUAUUCUUUUGUGCUGAAAAUUUCUUUGUAAACCGAAAGUAAGCAUAGUUUUUGCUUGAGAUUUUCUGUUUUAAGUAGUCUGUUCAUAGAAGGUUUCAAGGGUCUCAGAGGUGAGAAGAGGUGCAGUGGUGUACAUGUUGCAGAGGUGCAAACCAGGGGCAUAGGUGUCCAACAUCAGCUUUGAGGCUUCUUUGUAACAGGGAGUUAUUUGUGUAUUGAGUUUUAAUAGUAAUAAAAAGAGUCUCCAAUCCUAGUUGGGAUUGGACGUGGAUUAGGCUACUAGAUAGAGGAUAGGGGCUGAACCACGUAAAAAUCCUGGUGUUUUAUGUUUCUGCACUUUUACUUUCUGUUGACUUAAAGUUCUGUGUUCUGUUUUAUACCAAUUUAUAAAUUCACUAAUCCAGACACCAAAACAGACAAGUACAAGCUGUCCGAAUUGAUCCUGUAGCAGAAUUUUACAAAAAUUUGUCACUGUCUAUCACUUUAAGUAUAAACACCUAUUCAACCCCCUCUAGGUGUGCGUAUUUACUGAAUUACAAUUAUGAUCCACUCAAAUUUUAAGUUCAAAAAUAACAAUACAGAAACUAUAUUAGUAUUAACAGAUAGAAAAAAAGGAAAACACAGAACUAUAAUAAGAAAGAUACUCAACCUACAAAUAUAAAGUAGCCGGGCAAAGGGAUUCAGAUGACUAAUUUUUCAGUUUUCUAACUUCAGGCAAAAUUUUAAACAUUAACUUGACAGUAAAUUGAGUAUAAAGUUUGCAACAACCCUUGAUAUCAUAUGGAAGGUGAAUAUUCAAUGAAACAUAUCAACAGUACAAGAAAAGAACAUUGGCAACUUCUACCAAGAAUUGCAUUAAUUCAAUCACAAAGUCUAGUGUAAGGUUCAAUGCAAAAUAGGCAAUACAACGAAUAUAAAAUUAGUAAAGUAAUAAACACAGUUUCAAUCUGAUUCAAAAACACUAAAUGCACUAUAAAUAAUAUCUAGAUACACAUUUAACCUUAUUGAUGGUAAUUUUUCAAUUAAAGAACAAUAAUCGUAUAUACCUGAUAUGCCUUUGCCGAAUGAGAACACGAGCAUGGUUAAUCGAACUAUUGUGUCUCCUUACUAUAAAUACUAUGUAUUAAAAGGGUAUUACAUAUAAACAUCAUUUUUCAUGGGGAAUUAAUUUUGAAGUAUUGAUAUCCACAAUGAAAGACAAUGCGCGCUGUCAACAUUUUACUUUUGAAUUAGCAGACAAACUUAUAAGAUGAUAAGAAAAUUCUUAUGCAAACCUGGGCAUCAUACAUGAUAAUGCCGGCAUAAAUAGCUGCUAACCCGAAAAUUGCAUCCGAAAACCCCCUGUGGAAUAAGUAGAUAAACCUGUCCAAAAAUCCAUUGGAAAUAUAUAUAUUGAAGUUAAUAGGAUAAAAUCAACCAUUACAAACUAUAGAAAAUAAACUAGCCCAACAAAAAACAAACAAAAAAACACAACAACAACAACAACAACAUUAAGUACUUACAGAUGAAUGAACAGAAGGGAAACCUCCAGCUCGAAAAAUAGAAUCAAUAUUAAUUUCAAAUUUGUUUUUACAUAAAAGAACGGAAGUAAAAGGCUUGGAGAUUUACCCAAUUGCAGUAGAUACAGCUGCGGCUAUACAAUCACCUGUUUAUUAUAUAAAUUCCCAACAAAUAAGAGGUGGGUAUUCAAUCAAUAAUCAUGAACAAAUAAAGGGAAAACAAGCAUUAAAAAAAACCUUAUUGCGGGCGAUUUUAGCGAUUGCAUCAGUUCCAACUCUGAGACAAACGAAUGUAUAGAGAGAUAAAGAAGGAUGAAGCAGGGGAACAUUAGCGGUAGAUCGAAGACGAGAAAAAGAGAAUAACUUGAAGAGAAGAAGAGAAUAGUUGUUAGAGAGGAGGGAGAGGACUUGAGAGGAGGAAGAUGAUUUGGGGGAAAACUGAAAUGAUUUGGGAGGAAAUAGGAUGGUUUUU